This 253-nucleotide ribosomal RNA is filed under the name uncultured bacterium. RNAcentral describes it as "partial 16S ribosomal RNA". It matches the Rfam family "Bacterial small subunit ribosomal RNA", at positions 524 to 776 of the family's 1533-position model. The record is from RNAcentral.
UACGAAGGUGGCGAGCGUUGUUCGGAUUCACUGGGCAUAAAGGGCGCGUAGGCGGUUCGGCAAGCGGCGUGUGAAAUCCCGGAGCUCAACUCCGGAAUUGCGCGCCGAACUGCCGGGCUAGAGGACGAGAGGGGGGUGUGGAACUCUAGGUGUAGCGGUGAAAUGCGUAGAUAUCUAGAGGAACGCCGGUGGCGAAAGCGACACCCUGGCUCGACCCUGACGCUGAGGCGCUAAAGCGUGGGUAGCAAACAGG